CAACUACAUCAUGACGGUGCCUCGAUGACAGGAAUUGUAAAAUGCAACUCCCUGGAAUGUAGAAUUGCAUUCCAAUUUCAGAGAUGUUAAAUGUGAAAAUAAAAAUGUGUCUUAGUAUUGCUGAAAUAUAAAAAUUAAAUUUUAUAGAAAUACGGUAAUUGAAAUUCACAGUUAAACUUCAACCUUAAUUAUGACUACUCUUUGCUACCUAGCUUAUUUUUAGCAUUCCUAACAGAUACUGUGUGAAAACUGAUUUGAGUCUUAACUUUUCUUAUAUUCUUUGUUAUCCCCUGAAGGACGUGUGAAAUGCCCAAGAAGCCAGUGCUGUGGGAAGAGGAAAAAUGAAGUCUUGUGUGUUUUGCCCCCAAUAACUCAAACUGGUGUAUGUGUCUCCAUCAGACAAUGUAAGUCUCAGUGGAUUUCUCUCCAGCCUUCAUUGUGAGAACCUGGUAGAGAUCGUGGGGAACUCACAAAAGCAUGAGGUUGGCCCUGUGAAUGGCCCCUCUGGAGUUUUUAACCCUCAGACCUGUCCACACCAAGGCUUCAGCAACUCUUCAGUUACAGCUUAGGUUUUCCUAGCCUUUCCUGUGGAGGUUUCUGCUCAUGGAGUUCUGCUCUGGUAAGUUAUUAUUCUCUGUAACCACCUGUCUGUCUCCAGCUUUGAGGGCAGCAGUUUGAUGUGACCUCACUUCUCUGACAGAUCUAAGAAAAGUUACUGAUUUUCAUUUUGUUCAGCUUUUUACUUGUUGCUAGGAUAGAGUGAUGACUUCCAAGCUUCUUACAUGUCAGACCAGAAACUGGAAGUCUGCAUCAUUCUGUUUACCUUCCUGGGCCCUAAAAACAUAACAAAGCAGAUUUCUUGUCAGAAUCUGUGUGUCAAUGAUAUGGUUUGGAUCUGUGUCCCUGUUCAAAUCUCAUGUUGAAAUGUAAUCCCCUAUAUUGGAGGUGGGGCUUGGUGGGAAGUGAUUGGAUCACGGGGGUGGUUUCUCAUGGUCUGACACCAUCUCCCUUGGUGCUGUCAUUCCCAUAGUGAGUCCUCAUGAGAUCUGGUUGUUUAAAAGUGUGUGGCAGGUGCCCCUUCUCUCUCUUGCUUCUUUUCUAGCCAUGUGAAGUGCUGUUCUCAUUUUACCUUCUGCUAUGAUUGUAAGUUUCCUGAGGCCUCCCAAGAAGCUGAACAGAUGCCACUGCACUUUCUGUACAGCCUGUGGAACUGUGAGCCAAUUACACCUCUUGUCCUUAUUAAUUACCCAGUCUCGGGUAUUUAUUUAUAGCAGUGCAAGAACUGACUAAUGCAGUUCAGUAGGCAUUAUAAAUUUAUUCUUUGAAAUGCCAUCUUUAGUAUAAAAAUAGAAAAUAGAAGCAUUUGGUAUACCAAUAAUAAACAAUAUUUCCAUGUAUCAGAAUCACAACAAACCCACAAAGUUAUAAUUGGGGGUUGGUUCUGGGCCUUGCUGGGCUUUAUGUCUGAAAGGGAGCAGGAGUUUCUUGAAACUAGGGGACUGAAUGAAGCUCCCCUGGUUAAGAAACAAGUCUGGAAAACUCCUUAGGGCUAUCACUUCUGUGAAGUUUUGUAACCAGGAAAGAAAGAAACUGUAUAAGCACACAACCAAAAUCUUAAGCAAGCCCCACACCUUGGCAGAUCAUCAAUACCUGCAAUACCACACAGCAUGUGGGGGAGAGAGGUAGUUGUGAGCCACCACUAGAAGUAGAAGUUGAGGGCUCUGAACGGCCAGGUAGAAACAACCCCAAACCUGGAGACUGGCUGGAAAGGAUGAAAGAGAAAAAAAUUUCACCUAAGAUGAGCUGAAGUACACAGUCCAAAACAUGAAGAAGUCUAGUCUAAGAGAGAAAGCCAACAUUUGUGACAAAUUUACUUUACGUAUAAUUAAUAGAAUAAGGCGGGGUGCGGUGGCUCAUGCCUGUAAUCCCAGCACUUUGGGAGGCUGAGGUGGGUGGAUCACUUGUGGCCAGGAGUUCAAGACUAGCCUGGCCAACAUGGCGAAGCCCAUCUCUAAUAAAAAAAUAUUAAAAUUAGCCAGGCGUUGUGGCAGGCGCCUGUAAUCCUAGCUACUCUGGAGGCUGAGGCAGGAAAAUUGCUUGAACCCAGGAAGCAGAAGUUGCAGUGAGCCAAGAUCGCACCACUGCACUCCAGCCUGGGUGACAGAGACUCCAUCUCAAAAAGUAAAUAAAUAAAUAAAUAAAAAGAAAAUAAUAAAAUAAUAGAAUAAGAUAAAGAAGGCUUUAAACACACGAGUUUAGGAUCAUCAGAGUGGUAAAUAAAAGGAAAAGGACCGGGUGUAGUCACUCACACCUGUAAUCCCAGUAUUUUGGGAGGCAGAGGAAGGAGGGUUGCUUGAGCCCAGGAAUUCAAGACCAACUUGUGCAUUAGAGUGAGACCCCCAUCUCCACUGGAAAAAAAAAAAAGGAAAAGAAUUAACCAAACAAAAAAAGGCAGAAAGGACAUAAGAACAGUUACAUAUGAAAUAGAAACACCUGGAUAACAUGUAUGUAAAAUCUGGAAAGUUAAAAAAAAAAACACACACACAAUAGAUUGGAUCAACUCUAGGCUGACACAGCUGAAGAAAAAAGUGCUCUGAACAAUUGUAUUAGAAAUUCAGGCUAGACACAGUGGCUUAUGCCUGUAUUCCCAACACUUUGGGAGAUUAAGUCAGGAGGAUCACUUGAGCUGAGAAGUUCAGGACCAGUCUGGGCAACAUAGUGAGACCCUCAUCUCUACAAACAUACAUACAUACAUACAUACAUACAUACAUACAUACAUACAUAAAGGGAAAAAAGGAUAAUGAGAGAAUACUCAAAGAAAGAACUGAAGACUUUUCACAAAGAAAUUCACAAAUCCUUACAAUUAAAAAUGCACAAAGAAUAAUGAAAAGGAUAAAUAGAAAUAAAUGCACAUGUAGACACAAGAUGGUAAAAUUGCAGAACAAGAGUAAAGACAAAAGUUUUAAAAACCACAGGAGAAGGUUGGGCGCAGUGGUUCACACUCGUAAUCACAGCACUUUGGGAGUCUGAAGCAGCCAGAUCACUUGAGGCCAGGAGUUUGAUACCAGCCUGGCCAACAUGGCGAAACCCUGUCUCUACUAAAAAUACAAAAAUUAGCUGGGUGUGGUGGUGCAUGCCUGUAAUCACAGCUUGCAUUAGUCUGUUCUCACACUGCAGAUAAAGAAAUACCUGAGACUGGGUAAUUUAUAAAGAAAAAAAGAUUUAAUGGACUUACAGUUUCACAUGCCUGGAGAGGCCUCAGAAUAAUGGUGGAAGGCAAAGGAGGAGCAAAGUCACGUCUUACAUGGCAGCAGGCAAGAGAGCAUGUGCAGGGGAAUUCCCAUUUAUAAAACCGUCAGAUCUCAUGAGACUUACUCACUACCACGAGAACAGUAUGGGGGAAACCACCUUCAAGAUUCAAUUAUCUCCACCUGGCCCUGCCCUUGACACAUGGGGAUUAUUACAAUUCAAGGUGAGAUUUGGGUGGGGACACAUAGCCAAAACAUAUCAUACCUACUCGGGAGGCUGAGGCACCAGAAUUGCUUGAACCCAGGAGAUGGAGGUUGCAGUGAGCCUAGAUUGCACCACUGCACUGCAGGCUGGGCGACAGAGUGAGACUCUGUCUGAAACAAAACAAAACAAAAGAACAAAAAAAACACAGGACAGAAAGACAGAAUUCUUGCUAACAGAUCUCAUUAGGUGAUCAACAGACUUCUCAUCUGCAACAGAUACCGCAUCACAACAGAUUAAUAUUUUCAAGGUGCUGAUAGACAAUAACUGCAAACUUUGAAUUCUAAACCCCGAAUGAACCAAGAUUCAAAAAUAAAGACCAUAUAAAGACUUUCAAAAAUGCAUUAGGAAAAUUUAACAACUUAGGGUCCUUAAUGAAAGGACCAUUAACAGAGAUCCAAGGAUUGUGAUGAAACAAAACAAAACAAAAACCCCAAGAGAAACUAAUCUUCUUGAAAUGCUGUUUUAUUUAAUUAACCAUGGACACUAUUUCCACACCCACACACACAAACACAGCACAGACAUCAAAAUUCCAGGCAAGAAUACCAAGGAAGAAGGUGGAGUAGGGAUGAGGGUUCUUAUGAGAUUGGGUAGGAGAAGGUUGAUAGAAAUAUUUAAGUAAUUCCAGACCAGUGUUUCUCCAAUUUUGGCAUGCGUCAGAAUCACUUGGAACACACAGGUUGUGUACCCACCCAUAGAAUUUCUGAUUCAUUAGGUCUGGGGUGGGACCUGAGAAUCUGCAUUUCUAACAGUUCCCAGGUGAUGCUAAGGCUGCUGCUCUGGGGUCUAUGCUUUGGGAACCACUCCUGCUGACUUUACUGGAAAGACUAAGUAUGUAGGUAAAAAAAAAAAAACCUGAGUGACCAUUAAAAGAAUAGGAACUAUGUAUAGCUUUAAAACCACAAAGGAAAAUAAAUGGACUAUAUAUGUGUGAACCCCAAAUAUCUGAGACAGGUCUCAAUAAAUUUAGAAAGUUUAUUUUGCCAAGGUUAAGGACACGUAUCUGUGACAGCCUCAGGACAUCCUGAUGACAUGUGCCCAAGGUGGUCGGGGCACAGCUUGGUUUUAUACAUUUUCAGGGAGACUUGAGACAUCAAUCAAUAUGUAUAAAGAUGUAUAUUGUUUUGGUCCAGAAAGGUGGGACAACUCAAAGCGGGGAGGGGGCUUCCAGGUCAUAGGUAAAUAAUAAGCAACAAAUGGUUGCAUUUUUUUGAGUUUCUGAUUAGCCUCUCCAAAGUAAGCAAGCAGAUAUGCAUUUAUCUCAGUGAGCAGAGGAAUGAUUUUGAGUUCUAUCUGACCUUUGUCUGUAAGGAAUUUCCUGGUGGACAAAUUGUGAAGGAGGUUAUGUGGCUUUUUAAAUUUCAGUAGCUGUCUUUUUUAGGAGUAGAAUGGGAGGAAGCUUUGCCCUAAGCAGUUCCCAGCUUGACUUUUCCCUUUGGCUUAUCCCAAGAUUUAUUUUCCUUUCACAUAUGUAUAUAUUUAUAAAUGUUAUAAGUACAACAGAAGGCAAGAAUGGAGCAAACAUAAGAGUGAGGAGGAGGAGGAGGAGGAGGAGAAGAAUGGUAAGUGCAAAUUAAAAUGGUAGUACUAAAUCCACACACUGGAAGGUGGUUUUUGCAACACAUAAAACUGAAAAAGCAAUUGUAUGCAGAAUACAUCAAGAAUUCCUACAAACCUUUAAAGAAAAUACAAGACCUUGAAAAAAUUUGCAAAGGAUGUGAUCAAACAAUUCACAGAAGAGGAAACAAACAUGGCCACAAAGCAUAUCCAAAAUCCAAAAGCAAAGCAUAGUCUCCCCAGUAACUAGGGAAAUACAGAUUAAAGGCACGGAUUUAUACCCAGCAGAUUGGUGAAAACUUAAAAGUCUCGUAAUUCCGAGUCUGAGUUGGGAUGUGGAAAAACAAGCCAGAAGUCUCACACAGGAGUGGUGAAAGGCUACGCUGGUGCAACUUCUUCAAAACAAUUUUAACAAUUUCUAGUAAAGAUAUGAUCUUUGUAUCAUAUCAAAGAUGCACAUUCUCUUUACCCGGUGAUCCAGCAGUCGACUUAAUGUGGAACAUAGACUCUUGCAUGUGAGUUCAGAGGCAUAUGCAUAAAUGUUCUUGGGGGUUUCCCUGUGAUAAUUAAAAACUGGAAAUAAACUAAUCUUAUUGCCAGAGAGUAGAUUAGAAUGUAGGAUCUUUAUACAAUGGAAUACUGUGAAGAAUUAACAUGAAUUGCUACUAUGUGGCCAUAGAUUCUGCCUAUAGAUUCUUUAAUGUUCUAUAUCAUAGAACAUUAUUUACCUCAAAUACUUAGAAUCAGCUUCAGUUAAAAUUAUAGUUGAAACUCUAAGCCACAUGGUUCAGUAAUACGUAAUAAAAAACUUCAAUGAGGUUAUUAGCAUAGUGUUUUUGAGAAUCCCAAACACUGGGUUAGCCCUUAUUCUUUGUUUAGAUGAAAAAGAUAAUGCAGAAGCUUAGAGAAUAUUUACAUUCCAGUUGCCAUGAUUAUAAAAU
RNAcentral lists this long non-coding RNA (6008 nucleotides) under Homo sapiens (human). Its description in RNAcentral is "HSALNT0150100". The record is from RNAcentral. Lineage: Eukaryota; Metazoa; Chordata; Mammalia; Primates; Hominidae.